UCCGUAGUGAACCUGCGGAAGGAUCAUUAC
This 30-nucleotide ribosomal RNA is filed under the name Helvella sp. KWT1. RNAcentral describes it as "partial 18S ribosomal RNA". The record is from RNAcentral. Lineage: Eukaryota; Fungi; Ascomycota; Pezizomycetes; Pezizales; Helvellaceae.